GAUGAACGCUGGCGGCGUGCCUAAUACAUGCAAGUCGAGCGAACGGACGAGAAGCUUGCUUCUCUGAUGUUAGCGGCGGACGGGUGAGUAACACGUGGAUAACCUACCUAUAAGACUGGGAUAACUUCGGGAAACCGGAGCUAAUACCGGAUAAUAUUUUGAACCGCAUGGUUCAAAAGUGAAAGACGGUCUUGCUGUCACUUAUAGAUGGAUCCGCGCUGCAUUAGCCAGUUGGUAAGGUAACGGCUUACCAAGGCAACGAUGCAUAGCCGACCUGAGAGGGUGAUCGGCCACACUGGAACUGAGACACGGUCCAGACUCCUACGGGAGGCAGCAGUAGGGAAUCUUCCGCAAUGGGCGAAAGCCAGACGGAGCAACGCCGCGUGAGUGAUGAAGGUCUUCGGAUCGUAAAACUCUGUUAUUAGGGAAGAACAUAUGUGUAAGUAACUGUGCACAUCUUGACGGUACCUAAUCAGAAAGCCACGGCUAACUACGUGCCAGCAGCCGCGGUAAUACGUAGGUGGCAAGCGUUAUCCGGAAUUAUUGGGCGUAAAGCGCGCGUAGGCGGUUUUUUAAGUCUGAUGUGAAAGCCCACGGCUCAACCGUGGAGGGUCAUUGGAAACUGGAAAACUUGAGUGCAGAAGAGGAAAGUGGAAUUCCAUGUGUAGCGGUGAAAUGCGCAGAGAUAUGGAGGACCACCAGUGGCGAAGGCGACUUUCUGGUCUGUAACUGACGCUGAUGUGCGAAAGCGUGGGGAUCAAACAGGAUUAGAUACCCUGGUAGUCCACGCCGUAAACGAUGAGUGCUAAGUGUUAGGGGGUUUCCGCCCCUUAGUGCUGCAGCUAACGCAUUAAGCACUCCGCCUGGGGAGUACGACCGCAAGGUUGAAACUCAAAGGAAUUGACGGGGACCCGCACAAGCGGUGGAGCAUGUGGUUUAAUUCGAAGCAACGCGAAGAACCUUACCAAAUCUUGACAUCCUUUGACAACUCUAGAGAUAGAGCCUUCCCCUUCGGGGGACAAAGUGACAGGUGGUGCAUGGUUGUCGUCAGCUCGUGUCGUGAGAUGUUAGGUUAAGUCCCGCAACGAGCGCAACCCUUAAGCUUAGUUGCCAUCAUUAAGUUGGGCACUCUAAGUUGACUGCCGGUGACAAACCGGAGGAAGGUGGGGAUGACGUCAAAUCAUCAUGCCCCUUAUGAUUUGGGCUACACACGUGCUACAAUGGACAAUACAAAGGGCAGCGAAACCGCGAGGUCAAGCAAAUCCCAUAAAGUUGUUCUCAGUUCGGAUUGUAGUCUGCAACUCGACUACAUGAAGCUGGAAUCGCUAGUAAUCGUAGAUCAGCAUGCUACGGUGAAUACGUUCCCGGGUCU
RNAcentral lists this ribosomal RNA (1372 nucleotides) under uncultured bacterium. Its description in RNAcentral is "bacterial SSU rRNA". It matches the Rfam family "Bacterial small subunit ribosomal RNA", at positions 28 to 1381 of the family's 1533-position model. The record is from RNAcentral.